UACGGAGGGGGCUAGCGUUGUUCGGAAUUACUGGGCGUAAAGCGCGCGUAGGCGGCUUUGUAAGUUAGAGGUGAAAUCCCUCGGCUCAACUGAGGAACUGCCUUUGAAACUGUACGGCUUGAGGCCGGGAGGGGGUAGCGGAAUUCCCAGUGUAGCGGUGAAAUGCGUAGAUACUGGGAGGAACACCAGUGGCGAAGGCGGCUACCUGGACCGGUUCUGACGCUGAGGCGCGAAAGCGUGGGUAGCAAACAGG
This 253-nucleotide ribosomal RNA is filed under the name uncultured bacterium. Its description in RNAcentral is "partial 16S ribosomal RNA". It matches the Rfam family "Bacterial small subunit ribosomal RNA", at positions 524 to 776 of the family's 1533-position model. The record is from RNAcentral.